This is a long non-coding RNA of Olea europaea var. sylvestris, 533 nucleotides long. RefSeq lists it as uncharacterized. The transcript has 3 exons. The record is from RefSeq and is a predicted model, not a curated record. Lineage: Eukaryota; Viridiplantae; Streptophyta; Magnoliopsida; Lamiales; Oleaceae.
GGAAACAUGAAAGAUUACUUGUUAGACUAUUUAAACGAUCUGUACUCUGACAUUUAACUUUUAGUUCAAAUUCACCGUUUCGAAAGUAUUUAGAUUUUUUAUGAUACUUUAUUAUUGAGUGACAAUAUGUGCACGCAUCAAACAUUUAAAGCAUACAGAAACUUGUAAACAUGCAGCAGUAGAUUAUAGACCACUACAAUAAAUUAUUCUAUGACCAAAAAAGCCCACAAAGUACUGCUGCUUCUUGGAUUGCUUCCCAGCCUGUUCUUAAAAUUUCUAUCCACCAUACCCAACAAGCAACAGGAUUUAAAACGGUGAAUUUACAAUCUUUAAACAUUUGCUUCCCACGAGAAAAUUUGAGCUGGAGUAACUGAAGAAAAUCAAUUACAGAAAUAUUUUGUGAUUGAAGUAAACGUACUUUAGAUAAUGGGUAACAGUGAAUCGUCAUCCGAUGAUGCUUACGACAAUUUUCCUUAUCGGCCCGCUUCUUAUGAAGGAUAUUCAGUAAACACUGGGUAUCGACAUCAAUCUCC